AGCCCCGCUCUCUUCUCCAUCGUCCAUUUUCUUUCAGCCGCCCUACGCGCCUCCCGAUCCGCCGCCACCACCUUCCCACCGCGGAUCCACCGGCCGCGGCCUCCGCUCAGCCCAGGCCUCUCCCUCGGCGGCCGCUUCGGCACCGAGGCCAAGCGCCAGUGCCUAUCGCGCUCCUCAUCCAUCGCCUCCAUCUACUCCGUCUCCUCCCUCGACGGGGAAGCCGACGCCGACCCGUCCCCGGCUGCGUUGCUCCCGCUGCUGCGCACCAGCUCGCUGCUAACCGGCAGGGACGAUGCACCCGAACAAGCCCGAGAUGGGGGCAGCGCGCAGCGGCUGCAGUCCUGUAGCGCGCAGCGGCUGCAGUCCUGCAGCACGCACAGCGCUAGAUCCAUCCACGAAGAACUUCUACGGCAGCACGGCGUGCGCCCGGUACCCAUGCCCACCAUCGCGGCUGAAGCCCGACACAUCGGGUCAAGCAGGGAGGAGGAGGCGGCAGCAGCUUGUGCCGCCGUAGUCUGGGAGCUCGGCGUCGCUCGGCCACUCGAGUCGAGCGUGGUGUGGUGGUCAGCUCCAGGUUUGCGUCCAUGGGAGCUGCUGCUGCGCUGCACGGCACUGCUGUCAAUCCCUUGCAUCAAUUGUUGUAUUUGGACUCAGAUAAGUUCACUAAUCAACCCCAAGUCCUUGUUCUUCCCAGUUUUCAGUAUCUACCAUUGCUCUGUUGUGCUUCAGUUUUUGAUGCUUUACUAAAAUUUAGGGUUCCAUACUUGAAUUGAUGUGUGGUAUAGCUAAUCUGGUGCAUUUAUUUUGUGGAUCAAUUCCCUUGAUUACUUGCUGGUAGAGUUACUGCAUACGGAAAAAAGAACUUCCUCUGGUCAUGAAAGUUUUCUCAAUCAGUUUUCCUGAAAUGAAGCCCCACCAACCAAUUUGUUAAUUGAUUUGCUGUCGGAACCCAUCCAAUACUGACUCUCGAUGUAUGAAACAGUUGGAUUCCUGAAUAAUUAUGCUGAACUAAAUUUCUUUGAUUUAUUUCCAAUGGUUACUUUGUCAGUUGUGACACGAGAAGCCAGUUCAUGAAUCUGCGCUUGCCGUGCUUUAAAUACCUGUGUUGGUGAAUCUGUGCUUGCCGUGCUUUAAAUACCUGUGUUGGUGUAGUGAAUAAUUAGCACCUGUUUUAGGACAUUUCGUUACGACUAGCACCUGUUGGAGGGCAAUUAUCUUGCUAUCCUCUUUCAUUUCCAUUGAGAGGUGAUUCAGCUCUAUGAACCCCUUUUCAAUCCUUGAUUCUUCCCAAGAGCUAAAUUGAUAGGUCAAAUAUCUUAAUUUUUAUAAUGCAGUCUGGUGGAGAGACCAAGUCCAUAAAUUAUCUCUGAGAGCUGCUUUUCUUCCCCGUUCAUCUCCAGCUCUUCCACUGAGAAUUGUCUUAUAGAAAGUACAUAUAAAGGGAAGGGGCAAAAUAUGACAGAGCUUAUGACUUAUGUAGUAGAAUAAUCGAAAUCAUGGUCCUUGCUUCUAAGCCAUCUCUAGGUAUUAAUCCAAUGCUAAAUUUAAAACUUUGAUUGAAGUCCUCAGUCUAAUUAUUUAAUUUCACUCUACUAAAACAUUUAUUAAAAUGUUUUGUUUAGGGAAUACGUUUUAUUUUCUUCUGUUAUGGCAACUCUUGGCAUUCAUAUCAUUGGUGUCUGAUAAUACUGGGAGAAAACAACUGCAAAAGACCAUCAAGGAUUCACCAGCAAAGCUCAGCAAGCUUAUUGACUCGAAAAUGAUGAUGCCAGCAUAGUAGUGAAAGCAGGAGAUGCUGUACUGUUGAAGUCCUAAACUAUUUCUUGGAGUCUUACCAUCUCCAAUUCCAAUUAUUUCUAAUUUUCUAAACUCCUUGGCAGAAUGAUGCUCAUCUGCCUUGUCCUCUUCCCUUCCCUCACUGCAAAUUCAUGGGAUUUGCAUCAGAAUAUUUUUAGUAGUCAAUCAAACCUUUUCCUGAGAGUUCAUGUUCUUAUCAUUACUAUUUGUUGUAGGUCAUGCCAUCCUUUUCGAGCAUUAGGGUUGAAGGCUUGAAGCUGGACGAUUGCAAAUUGAGCAGAAGUGUCAGGAAAGCGUGGAUAGCCAAAAUAUUUAGAGAAAGCUUUAUGUCUAUAUGCUGGUGAUGGACAGCUAGAAGAAUGAAGAAUUACAGAAAGGUUUAUUGGUGACUGCUGGUGCUGAUGGGGGCAUUAAUAGAUCAAUAAGAUAACUCAUUUAGUUUUAUUUUAUUAUGCCAAACAUAGUUGCAAACUUGUAUUCAGAGAUAGUGUUUUUAUUCCGCUGUAGUCAUGUUUAUUUUAGCACUACUCUUGUUAUUGUGUUAUUACUUUGGUUGAGGCAUGUAUUUGAAGUUAAAGGUUUGAGUUCUUAUA
Molecule: long non-coding RNA, 2390 nt
Organism: Setaria italica (foxtail millet)
Lineage: Eukaryota; Viridiplantae; Streptophyta; Magnoliopsida; Poales; Poaceae
Exons: 4
Source: RefSeq, a predicted model, not a curated record